This 265-nucleotide long non-coding RNA is filed under the name Mytilus galloprovincialis (Mediterranean mussel). Lineage: Eukaryota; Metazoa; Mollusca; Bivalvia; Mytilida; Mytilidae. The record is from RNAcentral.
AAACAAAAUCGGGGUAACAAACUAAAACUGACGGAAACGCAUAAAUAUAAGAGGAGAACAACGACACAACACUACAAUGUAACUAACACACACAGAAACGGACCAAGCAUCAGACAAAAUCCCACGAGAAUAACAAAUAUAAGAUCAAAACCAAAUACAUGAAUUUGGGAUAGACAAGUACCGUGACACGUCUUAUCGCAAUGUCAAUUUACAUUCAAAAAUAAGAGAAAACAAACGACGCAACGUUAAAUUGUAACACACACAG